This 392-nucleotide long non-coding RNA is filed under the name Brassica napus (rape). RNAcentral describes it as "long non-coding RNA (BNAP_LNC023671)". The record is from RNAcentral. Lineage: Eukaryota; Viridiplantae; Streptophyta; Magnoliopsida; Brassicales; Brassicaceae.
GUAGUCUGUCAUGAUCAGGAUGUGCUUUCUCUGUCUCGAACUCGUCAUGGGUCCAACAAUGUCGAUCGCCCAACGCAUGAAUGGAUAUGGUGCCGUUGAAGAUUGUAAGAGUUCGGUCGGACAGUAUAUGUAAGGGGCGUGUCGCUGGGGCGUGUCGCUGGCACUUGUCGCACUUUCGGGUAUACGCUUCGCAAUCAGCGACCAUGGUUGGCCAGUAAAACCCAUGCUUUUUACUUUGAGGGAUAAUGCUCGACCGCCUGAGUGGUUUACGGCUGCUCCUUCGUGAGUUUCGGCCAUGUCCAAUGCUGCUUCCUUUGUGCUGAGGCACGUCAAGAGGACCUUAGCAGAAGUCCAGAGGUGCAACCUUCCCUCGAUGGCGACGUAGUUUGCAC